UACGGGGGGAGCAAGCGUUGUUCGGAUUUACUGGGCGUAAAGGGCGCGUAGGCGGUCGUGACAAGUCACUUGUGAAAUCUCCGGGCUUAACUCGGAACGGUCAAGUGAUACUGUCGGACUAGAGUACAGAAGGGGCAACUGGAAUUCUCGGUGUAGCGGUGAAAUGCGUAGAUAUCGAGAGGAACACCUGCGGCGAAGGCGGGUUGCUGGGCUGAUACUGACGCUGAUGAGCGAAAGCUAGGGGAGCAAACGGG
This 254-nucleotide ribosomal RNA is filed under the name uncultured bacterium. RNAcentral's name for it is "partial 16S ribosomal RNA". It matches the Rfam family "Bacterial small subunit ribosomal RNA", at positions 524 to 776 of the family's 1533-position model. The record is from RNAcentral.